RNAcentral lists this ribosomal RNA (186 nucleotides) under Quasipaa cf. spinosa KR-2003. RNAcentral describes it as "partial 16S ribosomal RNA". The record is from RNAcentral. Lineage: Eukaryota; Metazoa; Chordata; Amphibia; Anura; Dicroglossidae.
GCCUAAAAUCAAGCCUAUAAGUUUGACUUAUAAAUCACACACUCAGUUAACUAAUAAUAAAACAUUUUAAUAUUCUAGUAGAGGCGAUCAAAAAACUUAUAAGCGCUUCAUUUAUAGUACCGCAAGGGAAUGAUGAAAUAGAUUUGAAACAGCCCAAAAGCAUAAAACAGCAGAGAUAAAACCUCG